AGUGAACGCUGGCGGUAUGCCUAACACAUGCAAGUCGAACGGCAACACAGUAAGCUCUUUCUUUUACGGUUGGCGAGUGGCGGACGGGUGAGAAAUACAUCGGCUUCUACUUUUUCGUGGGGGAUAACGUAGGGAAGCUUACGCUAAUACCUCAUACUACAUACGGGUGAAAGCAGGGGAUCUUCGGACCUUGCGCGAUUGAAUGAGCCGAUGUCGGAUUAGCUAGUUGGUGGGGUAAAGGCCUACCAAGGCGACGAUGCGUAGCUGAUCUGAGAGGAUGAUCAGCCACACUGGAACUGAGACACGGUCCAGACUCCUACGGGAGGCAGCAGUAGGGAAUAUUGGGCAAUGGGCGAAAGCCUGACGCAGCAAUGCCGCGUGAGUGAUGAAGGUCUUCGGAUUGUAAAGCCCUGUUGUUAGGGAAGAAAAAAUGUGGAAGAAACCAUGGAUGUUUUGACGGUACCCAAACAGAAAGCCCCGGCUAACUACGUG
Molecule: ribosomal RNA, 492 nt
Filed under: uncultured bacterium
Lineage: Bacteria
Description: partial 16S ribosomal RNA
Rfam family: Bacterial small subunit ribosomal RNA
Source: RNAcentral